Molecule: ribosomal RNA, 1396 nt
Filed under: uncultured bacterium
Lineage: Bacteria
Description: bacterial SSU rRNA
Rfam family: Bacterial small subunit ribosomal RNA
Source: RNAcentral
GAAUUCGCCCUUAGAGUUUGAUCCUGGCUCAGGAUGAACGCUGGCGGCGUGCCUAACACAUGCAAGUCGAACGGAGUCGUUUUGGAAAAUCCUUCGGGAUUGGAAUUCUCGACUUAGUGGCGGACGGGUGAGUAACGCGUGAGCAAUCUGCCUUUAAGAGGGGGAUAACAGUCGGAAACGGCUGCUAAUACCGCAUAAGCCCACGGCUCGGCAUCGAGCAGAGGGAAAAGGAGCAAUCCGCUUUGAGAUGGCCUCGCGUCCGAUUAGCUAGUUGGUGAGGUAAUGGCCCACCAAGGCGACGAUCGGUAGCCGGACUGAGAGGUUGAACGGCCACAUUGGGACUGAGACACGGCCCAGACUCCUACGGGAGGCAGCAGUGGGGAAUAUUGCACAAUGGGGGAAACCCUGAUGCAGCGACGCCGCGUGGAGGAAGAAGGUCUUCGGAUUGUAAACUCCUGUUGUUGAGGAAGAUAAUGACGGUACUCAACAAGGAAGUGACGGCUAACUACGUGCCAGCAGCCGCGGUAAAACGUAGGUCACAAGCGUUGUCCGGAAUUACUGGGUGUAAAGGGAGCGCAGGCGGGAGAACAAGUUGGAAGUGAAAUCCAUGGGCUCAACCCAUGAACUGCUUUCAAAACUGUUUUUCUUGAGUAGUGCAGAGGUAGGCGGAAUUCCCGGUGUAGCGGUGGAAUGCGUAGAUAUCGGGAGGAACACCAGUGGCGAAGGCGGCCUACUGGGCACCAACUGACGCUGAGGCUCGAAAGUGUGGGUAGCAAACAGGAUUAGAUACCCUGGUAGUCCACACCGUAAACGAUGAUUACUAGGUGUUGGAGGAUUGACCCCUUCAGUGCCGCAGUUAACACAAUAAGUAAUCCACCUGGGGAGUACGACCGCAAGGUUGAAACUCAAAGGAAUUGACGGGGGCCCGCACAAGCAGUGGAGUAUGUGGUUUAAUUCGACGCAACGCGAAGAACCUUACCAAGUCUUGACAUCCCUUGACGAUGCCGGAAACAGUAUUUCUCUUCGGAGCAAGGAGACAGGUGGUGCAUGGUUGUCGUCAGCUCGUGUCGUGAGAUGUUGGGUUAAGUCCCGCAACGAGCGCAACCCUUAUGGUCAGUUACUACGCAAGAGGACUCUGGCCAGACUGCCGUUGACAAAACGGAGGAAGGUGGGGAUGACGUCAAAUCAUCAUGCCCUUUAUGACUUGGGCUACACACGUACUACAAUGGCGUUAAACAAAGAGAAGCAAGACCGCGAGGUGGAGCAAAACUCAGAAACAACGUCCCAGUUCGGACUGCAGGCUGCAACUCGCCUGCACGAAGUCGGAAUUGCUAGUAAUCGUGGAUCAGCAUGCCACGGUGAAUACGUUCCCGGGCCUUGCACACACCGCCCGUCA